UUCAAAGAGUGCGUAAUAGCUCACUAGUCGAGUGACCCUGCGCCGAAAAUGUACCGGGGCUAAAACAAUUUACCGAAGCUGUGGAUACCUUUAUAGGUAUGGUAGGAGAGCGUUCUAUGUGUGAAGAAGGUAUACCGUGAGGAGUGCUGGAACGCAUAGAAGUGAGAAUGCCGGUAUGAGUAGCGAAAGACAGGUGAGAAUCCUGUCCACCGUAAGACUAAGGUUUCCAGGGGAAGGCUCGUCCGCCCUGGGUUAGUCGGGACCUAAGGAGAGACCGAAAGGUGUAUCCGAUGGACAACAGGUUGAUAUUCCUGUACUAGAGUAUGUAGUGAAGGAGGGACGCAGUAGGCUAACUAAAGCGUGCGACUGGAAGAGCACGUCUAAGCAGUGAGGUGUGAAUUGAGUCAAAUGCUUAAUUCUGUAACAUUGAGCUGUGAUGGGGAGCGAAGUUUAGUAGCGAAGUUAGUGACGUCACACUGCCAAGAAAAGCUUCUAGCGUUUAAACAUACUCUACCCGUACCGCAAACCGACACAGGUAGUCGAGGCGAGUAGCCUCAGGUGAGCGAGAGAACUCUCGUUAAGGAACUCGGCAAAAUGACCCCGUAACUUCGGGAGAAGGGGUGCUGACUUUUGUCAGCCGCAGUGAAUAGGCCCAAGC
RNAcentral lists this ribosomal RNA (658 nucleotides) under Porphyromonas sp. RNAcentral's name for it is "partial 23S ribosomal RNA". It matches the Rfam family "Bacterial large subunit ribosomal RNA", at positions 1122 to 1797 of the family's 2925-position model. The record is from RNAcentral. Lineage: Bacteria; Pseudomonadati; Bacteroidota; Bacteroidia; Bacteroidales; Porphyromonadaceae.